RNAcentral lists this ribosomal RNA (269 nucleotides) under uncultured bacterium. RNAcentral's name for it is "partial 16S ribosomal RNA". It matches the Rfam family "Bacterial small subunit ribosomal RNA", at positions 86 to 354 of the family's 1533-position model. The record is from RNAcentral.
CCCGGGCGACCGGCGCACGGGUGAGUAACACGUAUGCAACCUGGCCGCCACAGGGGAUAACCCGCGGAAACGCGGCCUAAUACCCCGUGACGCCACCGGAGGGCAUCCUCCGGUGGCCAAAGGAGCGAUCCGGUGGCGGAUGGGCAUGCGGCGCAUUAGCUAGACGGCGGGGUGACGGCCCACCGUGGCGACGAUGCGUAGGGGUUCUGAGAGGAAGGCCCCCCACACUGGGACUGAGACACGGCCCAGACUCCUACGGAAGGCAGCAG